AUUGAACGCUGGCGGCAUGCCUUACACAUGCAAGUCGAACGUGAAAGGGGGGCAACCCCCGAGUAGAGUGGCGGACGGGUGAGCAACACAUCGGAACGUACCCAGUAGUGGGGGACAACCUCGAGAAAUCGAGGCUAAUACCGCAUACGACCCACGGGUGAAAGCGGGGGACCGCAAGGCCUCGCGCUAUUGGAGCGGCCGAUGUCCGAUUAGCUUGUUGGUGGGGUAACGGCCCACCAAGGCGACGAUCGGUAGCUGGUCUGAGAGGAUGAUCAGCCACACUGGGACUGAGACACGGCCCAGACUCCUACGGGAGGCA
Molecule: ribosomal RNA, 319 nt
Filed under: uncultured bacterium
Lineage: Bacteria
Description: bacterial SSU rRNA
Rfam family: Bacterial small subunit ribosomal RNA
Source: RNAcentral